CAGCAGAUUCACUGCAAUAUGUCAUUCUUUAUGCACCAUGAGAGAUAUAUGAGCACACGAGCUUAUGAAGGGUGGGGAAGUCUGAAUAACUGACCAGUUUUGCACCUCAUGUGCUGGAGAAGGAGAGAAAGAAUUGGAAGUUCACAUAGACUAUUGCUUCCAAACCCUCCAGACCUCAGGUCCACUGUGAACUCCACUCCAAUAAAUACGAACAUUACAAGACUCAUGUCUUAAAAUUUAUUUCCAAGGAAGUGUCUCAUUUUAUUGCAACAUGAAUAAGAGACUCUAAGGCAAUAUUUAGUUUGUUUUAUGUUUCAUAAAAAAAAAAAAAAAAAAAAAAAAGACUGUAAUUUCAUGGAGGCUCUAACAGAAAUUCCUCUUUCCAUCCAAGCGGAAGAAAUCAUGUUCAGGACCUUUCCCUGAGGGCUCGAGGAAAGCACAUUAACAUGGAAACUCCCACUUUGCUUUAUUUGUGAGUUACUCUUCCAGUAGGAUGAGGCUGGAAUUGAGGGAAGCUAUAACUGCACUAACUGGCCAAAGCCUGUGACAUUAAGGGGUAGGCAAGGAUGCUGAGAGGAUAAUCCCAAAGAUGCAGCUCUCCAGUUGAUGAAAAUCAGAAGAGACAGAUAAUCACUGGAGAGAUUCCCACCUAGAAAGAAGCUAAUUGCAUGGGCUUUAAGUAGAAGGGUGUAGUUACUCUAGUUCUGCCUGUCACUUCUGUCAUUGCUGGCUUUCGCAGCACUGUCUUUUAAGAUGCUGGAGGAGGGGUCAAGGCCCCUUUUAAUGAAGUGAAAGUUUGAGUGGGAGGCCUGUCCAGAUCAGCAGUGGAAAGAGAAAAACCACAUGCAGAAAGCCCCAUGCAUGGGGAAACCAGAGUUGCAGCCUGUUCCAGACGCAGGAGCUGCUGAAGCACAGAUGUCUUCAGGAAAUCUCCACGGUGAGCCCCAAAGAGUUUUGACCAGGUGAGAAUGUCAGUCCACGCCAGCGCCUGGUUCUGCCACACACCAACCAGCAAGGACAUCCCGACAGCGCCUGGUCCCCGGGACCACUUGCCGGAGGACAGUGCAGGCAUCUGACUGCCUUUUAAAAAAAGAAACCUCUUCAGUCUUUUUUAAGUUGUAAAAGGGAAGAAUAUGAGACUCUUCCCAAAUUCUUGAAACUGGCAUCCGUACCUCUGGGAACAAAGAAGGACUCUGCUGCGGCUGCAUUUAGGGGAAAGUGGAUAACUUUAAAUGACCAGGACCUCCAAACCACAGUCGGUACCUUGACCACACUCCGAGCAAGGAGUCGCACCAGGCUCCCUGUUUGUGCCAGGCUUUCGUGACACAGGGGACAGGCUGGGCUAUCUGAAAUCAGGUUUGUUUGAAGGUCUAUUCUGAGCUCAGCUCAGUUCCCUCUCAGAAAACAGAUGCAAAGAAAGACAACCUGAUGCUGCUGAUGGUGGGAGGUGUGGAGGAAGAGUCAGCACAGACCUUUGCUGUGGGAUGUCACACGUGAGUCCGAGCCGGGUCACAGCUGCAGACAUUCAUCCCCCUGCUCCUGACUCGCUGCCGUCCAACAGCACCACGGAGGUUUCACUGUUUCUGGAAGUGCUGCUGUUUGGAAAAAAACAUGAUUUACCCUGCAGUGUAUAAGCUCACACUGCCAAAAGGGUCACCACUGUUUUGUGUAGACCUCAAGAGGAAAACAUGAGUUAGUUUGUUCCGCCAAAAUAAGGUUUUCUUUUAGAAACAGGAGUGCUAUUUUUUUCUCAUGCAGUCUGAGGUAUAAUAUUGAGUUCCAGUUUCCCUUAAGAGUUCAACUUCAUCAUCCUCCUACUAGCAUGGUUUUAUUUUAGUUACCAAAUAUUUGAGGUUAAAGUGAAUAGUUCAUCUUUAAUGGGAUUAUCUCUUUCAAUGUUUGCUUUCAUUACAGUUCGAAUUGCUCUGAGCAUGAGAAUCUAACCUCACCAAAAGCAUAUUUUUGUAAUUUGAUACAAACUAAAUUUAACCUUUGACUCUCAUCUAUAAAGACGUUACUUUUUUCCACCAAAAAGCAGAAUGUUAGAUUAAAGAUCUGCCAGUUUCAAUUUCCAGGUUGCUAACCUUCCUGUGAUUGGGUCCUGAAAUGUGGAAAGCUCUGUAUUUAGUAAAGGUAUUUAAUAUUAAUAGUAACAGUCAAGAUGGUCUUAUACCUGCUGCUUACAAUAGCUAAAUGGAGGUUCUCUGCUGGCUUUUAAAAUAGAGAAUAAUUUUCUUGACCCACACCGUGCAGUACAGUAGAACUCUUUGGACAGAGAUAUUUAAAAUAAAAUCUUCCCUUUGAGAUACUUAAACAGUUUAUCGCAGUUCUUUUGUUAAACAAAUAAUUCUCAUGCGAGUGCUUUGGAAUAUUAAGCCUGUGCUUAGGAAAAGAAAGAUUCAUGUUCUCUCUCCUGACGGCUUUAAAUGUGAUACAGAAAGGGAAAUGGAUUCUCUGUAUUAGUCUAUAUUUUCCCCAGUAAAUCAUCAGGAAAAUUGGAGAGAAGGGAUUGCUUUUUAGAAAAAAAAAGAUAUUUUUGUUCUCUGCCGGAAGAAUCCUUCUAAAUACGUGAAGUUUUUCACUUCUACUUUUAUAAGAUGAAGUGUUGAAACUUUCAGUGAAAAAUCUUUCCAGAUAUUUGUUGGGAAUUUAAUUUAAAAAAUAAACAAAGCACCACAAUUAAGCAUGAAUGAAAAAUUACUAUGUCUCCUGUUCUGCAAAAGAUAGAUCGAAAGUGGAUCGACUGUCAGAGCUCUGGUGAAGUCUGAGAUAUUUCUUCCCUGCAUUUCUGCAGUAACGAAGUAAAGGGGGAAACGGCUCAUCGCAGGCGUCAGGACAUGAAGGAGAACGUGGGCGCGUGUAUUUAUUUAACCCAGGAAAAUUCACUAUGAAUUCUACAAAAUCCUUCCACUGGAUACAGUUCCUAUGACUCUAUUUUUGUACAAUUCAUAGAAAAGCCUUUGUGUUCAAUUACUUACUCAGGCUCCAUAUGGAAGACGGAUUUAGAUAUAAAAAUUAUACUCUGUAAAAUCUGUCCAUUCUGUACAGGGAAGCAAGCAAGAAAAAAAGAAACCCACCUUAUAUUUCAGCUCUGCAGUCAUCAGAGAAGAACACUGCAACCAAAAUUCAAAUUUUAGUUUGAACACAUACUGCGCUAAUAAAUGGUCAGCUUAGAAGCAUUUCCUGUUUAUACACUGUGUUAAUAAGCAUCCAUCACCCAUGUCACAUAUACGGGAUACCAAAUUCAAAUGUCAAACAAAAUGUAAGAGGUCACACAUUUUCCUUUGCUAACUAAAAGUGUAAUUCAUAAAUAUUAUUGCUACCAAACUCUCCAUCUACAGCACUUGUUUAGAAAUAUGCACAUGUAAUAUAAAUUGUGAUUAAGUUAAAUGGGUAUAUUAUUUCCUGUUUUAAGGGUGAACAGCAGCAUGAAUUAUGUUUUACUCAAUAGGCAUUUCAAUAAAAACCUAUAGAGUAACAAGCUGCUAUCAUAUAGUUCAGCUGCGCAGACUAACGUAGAAAGGGUCUUAUGAUCCACCACUGAUAUUUAAGCUGUUCCUGUGUCUGUUAUUUCUGCUGAUGCAUAGAAAAAUAUUUCCCUAGUUCAGUACCCCUUUCUAUUUUUCGAUAUAAAAAUAAAGUCUGCAGGGGG
Molecule: long non-coding RNA, 3652 nt
Organism: Columba livia (rock pigeon)
Lineage: Eukaryota; Metazoa; Chordata; Aves; Columbiformes; Columbidae
Exons: 3
Source: RefSeq, a predicted model, not a curated record